This 2446-nucleotide ribosomal RNA is filed under the name Sphaerothecum destruens. RNAcentral's name for it is "large subunit ribosomal RNA". It matches the Rfam family "Bacterial large subunit ribosomal RNA". Lineage: Eukaryota; Ichthyosporea; Dermocystida. The record is from RNAcentral.
AAUUUCAGGAUAAGAUUAGUAAAAAAUUUCAUUUUGUGGAAAGAUUGCAUUUUUUGAUUUUGGACGUUGAAAUUAACGAAAUUAUUUAAAUAUUAAAUAAAUUCCUUAAGGAAACUUUAAAUAAAUAGUGUGAAAUGAAACAUCUGAGUAGCACGAAAAUAAAUCAAUAGAGAUUAGGUAAGUAAUGGUGAGUGAACAUCUAGUAGAUUCAGAUAUAUGUGAAAAUUCAUAGAAAGUUAAACUUGUAGCAUAUUAUAAUUAAAAAGUAUAUGUUAUACAUAAAAUAUGGGUGUUAUAUCCAAAUCUAAAUUAAAAAAAAUAGCGAUAGUGAAAAGUACCGUGAGGGAAAAUUAAUUUAAUAAGGAAAUUAGAUUGAUAAAACAGAAUGGAAAAAGCAAAUUAAGUAUUUUUUAAAUAUAAAAUUGUACCUUUUGUAUAAUGGGCCAGUGAGUUAAAUUGUAUGGUUAGUUUAAUUUAAUAAAGUAGACUGAGGAAACUGGAAAAAUCAUAUAAUUUAAACUCGAAAUCAGUCGAUCUUACCAUGAACAAUUUGAAAAGAUAUAAUAUAUUCUUGGAGGAAUGUACUGUUGAUUGUAGCAAUAAUCUCAGAUGAUUUGUGGUAAGGAGUGAAAGGCUAAUCUAGGCUGAUGAUAGCUAGUUUUCUGUGAAAGUUAUUUAAGUAAUGCGUUAUUAUUUAGUUUAAAAAAGGUAGAGCUCUGGUUAUGAAAACAGUUUAGUUACUGUUUAUAAAUAAUUAAACUUAUGAAUUGGUUUAACUAAAGUAAUAGUAAGACAUAGGGCGUUAAGGUUCUAUGUCAAAAGGAUAAGAGUCCAGAUUAUAAGUUAAAGUUGUUAAUUAGGUAAUUAAGUGCGUAAAAAUGUUUUUUUGUGUCUAAGUUUAUGAAGUAGGCUUGGAAGCAGCCUUCUUUUAAAGAAAGAGUAAUAUCUCAGUAAACUAAUAGAAAAGUAUUGAAAAUUUAUGCAACUAAAAUCUUAAACUGAAACUGUAGAUAGGGAUUGUGGUAACAGAAUAUUCUUAAGUUUAAGAAGAAAUUAUGCUGGCAUGAGUAAUAAAAGAAAAUAUAAAUAUUUCUGGUUAAAAACUGAAGGUUUUCUAUAUAUUAUGAAAAAUAUAAGAGUAUGUGGUCUCUAAGUUAGUUGUAGAACUAUGCUGUAAUGUUAAAUGAUGAGAUAUAGUUUGAAACAGAGAUGUAUAAUCUUGCAAGAAAAAGAACUGCGAAUUAACCACACUAAAACUAACUCAAGUAGGUAAAUAUAGAAUAUUAAAACUAAGAUUAAAUAACACUUAAGGAACUCGGCAAAUUGUUUUUGUAAGUUCGCGAUAAAAAAAGCCUGUAAGGUUUAAGAUAACAGGAGGUUCCAACUGUCCACCAGGAACACAGUAUUCUGCAAACUUGUAAAAGGAAGUAUAGGAUAUGAAGCUUGCCCAAUGAUAGGGAAUAAUAAAUUAUAAUAAUUUAAAAAUACUAAUUAAAUGGCUGCAGUAACCAUAACUGUACAAAGGUAGCAAAAUGCCUUGGCUACUAAUUAUAGUCUUGCAUGAAUAGCUUAAUGAGAGCCUCGCUGUCUCAAGUGUUAUAUCUAUGAAAUUGAAUUUGCAGUGAAGAUGCUGUAUAAUUAUAGGUAGACGAGAAGACCCUAUGCACCUUGACUAUAGGUUGUUAUUGUGUAAAGUUCGCUUAAUUUAUAGAAUAGAUAAUAAAUUAUUGGUAAUUGAAAUUGUAAUAUUAUUACUAGGUUAAAAUUACACUAAGGUAGUUUAAAUUGAAAGUGACAAUCGGGUAGUUUGGCUGGGGUGGCCCUCCUUUAAAUGGUAACAAGGAGAUUCUUAAGGUUAACAAAAUUAACAAGAUGUUAGUUGAUAUCAUAAUAGAUAAAGUUAGCUUAAAAGAUGGAAAUACAUUUCUAUCUUGUACGAAAGUAUGAUAUAGUGAUCGAGUUUUUAAUUAAUAAUUUAGACUCAUCAAUGAAUAAAAGGUACGCUAGGGAUAACAGGCUUAUAAAUAUUGAGAGUUCAUAUCGACAUAUUUGUUUGGCACCUCGAUGUCGACUUGCUUCAUCCUCUUGGUGAAAUAAUUGAGAAGGGUUAGACUGUUCGUCUAUUAAAGAAGUACAUGAGUUGGGUUAAUUACGUUGUAAGACAGUAAGGAUUCUAUCUCCUAUGAUAUAAUUAUCUAAGUUUUUGUUUUUGUUUAGUACGAAAGGACCAAUGAGAAUAAGUCUCUGGUACUUCAGUUGUUUUAAAGCAUAGCUGAGUAGCUACACUUAAUUAGUUAACUAUUGAAAUCAAUUUAAAUGGGAAACUAGGAAAAUUAAGGUAAAAAUUAACAAACAAUAGAUGAUUGUUUUUUAGUUAUAAAUGUAAGUUUAGUAAUAAAUUUAGUUAUAUAAUAUAAUUAAUUUAAGGACUAGUUUUAUGAUACAG